UGGCUCAGUGGUAGAGUGCUUGCCUUGCAUGCAUGAGUCCCUGGGUUCAAUUCCUCAG
RNAcentral lists this transfer RNA (58 nucleotides) under Dipodomys ordii (Ord's kangaroo rat). It matches the Rfam family "tRNA", at positions 8 to 63 of the family's 71-position model. Rfam says of the family: Transfer RNA (tRNA) molecules are approximately 80 nucleotides in length. Their secondary structure includes four short double-helical elements and three loops (D, anti-codon, and T loops). Lineage: Eukaryota; Metazoa; Chordata; Mammalia; Rodentia; Heteromyidae. The record is from Rfam by way of RNAcentral.